UUUGGGGGCGGUGUUUACAGACUGGACUGGUUCUUUUCUGUCGGCUGUCCUGCUCUUAGCUGGGUUUCUGAACCUCCGUGAAGUUUUCCAGCUAGGUUCGGAAAAAACGAAAACACAGCUCAGGAAGGCUCCACCAGCCGAUGCCUAUGCCAGUUCACCUCUGGCAGUGGCUGUACUGCUGGUCCACACAGCAGCCAAGACCAGCUCCACGUUCUUUCCUCCCCCUCAGUUCACUGGAGCCGGGAGCCCUGCACUCAGGGGAAGGGCCUCAGCUCUACAGACUGCCAAAGUCGGCUGGGUCCCUCCAGCUCCAAAAAUGGUGAGAAAGGAACUCAUCUUUUUCCACAGAGGAAUCAGAAGCAG
RNAcentral lists this long non-coding RNA (363 nucleotides) under Mus spicilegus (steppe mouse). RNAcentral's name for it is "HOXA transcript at the distal tip, conserved region 3 (ENSMSIG00000009724.1)". It matches the Rfam family "HOXA transcript at the distal tip, conserved region 3". Lineage: Eukaryota; Metazoa; Chordata; Mammalia; Rodentia; Muridae. The record is from RNAcentral.